UCACUGCUCUAGAGCAUUUUAUUGUCCAUCCUCAGUCUUUUCUUCAGACCCUAGCUUAUGCUGAGCAUUAACCUUCAGGACACCCUUCCUGCAGUUCUGGGCCACCCCUAUAUUUAGUCUUAGUUAUGUCACCUCUCACCUUCUUCUUUCUAAAACUCUAAGCUUAUCAAAAAGCAAUGUGUUCAAUCACAUUGCCAAACCGGUUACGCCUGCAUGUUGUGUUUUGACCCAAUUUGUAAGUUUCUGUCAGCAGGGGAGUUUAUUGCAUGGAAAGAUGCUCAUUACAUACUGUGAAGUUAAUAAAGCAGUUUUAAAAAGCAAA
This is a long non-coding RNA of Myotis davidii, 322 nucleotides long. RefSeq lists it as uncharacterized. The record is from RefSeq and is a predicted model, not a curated record. The transcript has 2 exons. NCBI's taxonomy places the organism in Eukaryota, Metazoa, Chordata, Mammalia, Chiroptera, Vespertilionidae.